RNAcentral lists this ribosomal RNA (301 nucleotides) under uncultured bacterium. RNAcentral describes it as "partial 16S ribosomal RNA". It matches the Rfam family "Bacterial small subunit ribosomal RNA", at positions 509 to 807 of the family's 1533-position model. The record is from RNAcentral.
CAGUAGCCGCGGUAAUACGAAGGGGGCUAGCGUUGUUCGGAAUUACUGGGCGUAAAGCGCACGUAGGCGGACAUUUAAGUCAAGGGUGAAAUCCCGGGGCUCAACCCCGGAACUGCCUUUGAUACUGGGUGUCUAGAGUAUGGAAGAGGUGAGUGGAAUUCCGAGUGUAGAGGUGAAAUUCGUAGAUAUUCGGAGGAACACCAGUGGCGAAGGCGGCUCACUGGUCCAUUACUGACGCUGAGGUGCGAAAGCGUGGGGAGCAAACAGGAUUAGAUACCCCUGUAGUCCCUGUCUCUUAUAC